RNAcentral lists this non-coding RNA (45 nucleotides) under Trypanosoma brucei brucei. The record is from RNAcentral. Lineage: Eukaryota; Euglenozoa; Kinetoplastea; Trypanosomatida; Trypanosomatidae.
AAACAAAAACUAGAUGACAGAUAUAGAGAUGAGUUAUAAAUAUAG